AUGUUUUUAGUAUACCAGUACAUUUACCUUCCAAGUAAAAAGCUUAUUAAAAUAAAAAACAUA
Molecule: transfer RNA, 63 nt
Filed under: Aporrectodea caliginosa
Lineage: Eukaryota; Metazoa; Annelida; Clitellata; Crassiclitellata; Lumbricidae
Also listed under: 1 other name
Description: tRNA-Gly
Source: RNAcentral